UUUCCUACGGGGGGCAGCAGUGGGGAAUAUUGGACAAUGGGGGGAACCCUGAUCCAGCGACGCCGCGUGAGUGAAGAAGUAUUUCGGUAUGUAAAGCUCUAUCAGCAGGGAAGAAAGAAAUGACGGUACCUAAAUAAGAAGCCCCGGCUAACUACGUGCCAGCAGCCGCGGUAAUACGUAGGGGGCAAGCGUUAUCCGGAAUCACUGGGUGUAAAGGGAGCGUAGACGGCUGUGCAAGCCUGAAGUGAAAGGCGGGGGCCCAACCCCUGGACUGCUUUGGGAACUGUACGGCUGGAGUGCAGGAG
This 305-nucleotide ribosomal RNA is filed under the name uncultured bacterium. RNAcentral describes it as "bacterial SSU rRNA". It matches the Rfam family "Bacterial small subunit ribosomal RNA", at positions 335 to 654 of the family's 1533-position model. The record is from RNAcentral.